AGAGUUUGAUCAUGGCUCAGAAUAAACGCUGGCGGCGUGCCUAACACAUGCAAGUCGCACGAGAACGCUUCAGCUUGCUGGAGCUAGUAAAGUGGCGCACGGGUGAGUAACGCGUGGGUAAUCUGCCUCCGAAUUGGGGAUAACACUGCGAAAGCGGUGCUAAUACCGAAUGAUGUCUCCGAGGUUCCGGUCUUGGAGACCAAAGGUGGCCUCUACAUGUAAGCUACCGUUUGGAGAUGAGCCCGCGUACCAUUAGCUUGUUGGUAGGGUAACGGCCUACCAAGGCUGCGAUGGUUAGCUGGUCUGAGAGGAUGAUCAGCCACACUGGAACUGACACACGGUCCAGACUCCUACGGGAGGCAGCAGUGAGGAAUUUUGCGCAAUGGGGGAAACCCUGACGCAGCAACGCCGCGUGAGUGAUGAAGGCCUUCGGGUCGUAAAGCUCUGUCAAGUGGAAAGAACCUGUCCUGUGCGAAUAUCACGGGGCACUGACGGUACCACUGAAGGAAGCACCGGCUAACUCCGUGCCAGCAGCCGCGGUAAUACGGAGGGAGCGAACGUUGUUCGGAUUCACUGGGCGUAAAGGGCGUGUAGGCGGUCUGGCAAGUCAGGGGUGAAAUGCCACGGCUCAACCGUGGAAUUGCCCUUGAAACUGCCGGACUUGAGGCCGUGAGAGGAGACUGGAAUUCCCAGUGUAGCGGUGAAAUGCAURGAUAUUGGGAAGAACACCAGUGGCGAAGGC
RNAcentral lists this ribosomal RNA (742 nucleotides) under uncultured bacterium. RNAcentral's name for it is "bacterial SSU rRNA". It matches the Rfam family "Bacterial small subunit ribosomal RNA", at positions 8 to 722 of the family's 1533-position model. The record is from RNAcentral.